This 320-nucleotide unclassified non-coding RNA is filed under the name Hevea brasiliensis (rubber tree). The record is from RNAcentral. Lineage: Eukaryota; Viridiplantae; Streptophyta; Magnoliopsida; Malpighiales; Euphorbiaceae.
UUCAUCACUGUUAUUAGAACGUGGUCUUUUUAUGUAUACAACAGUUCUACUUACCACUUGGAUGAAUCCAAGUGCCUGAUUAAUAUGAGGUCAUAAUUGCAGAUACUAAUGGUUGAUACAUCUGUUCUAUUCUAGAAGGUAAAAGAAUGAAUCCAUACAAUUUAUUCAGAGGGAACCUCAGUAAUUUCUUUAUUAUCAUUUCUGGUGAAUCCAUACAAUUUAUUCAGAGGGAGCCUCAGUAAUUUCUUUAUUAUCAGUUGUGGCUAACAACUAAUGAUUUGGAAGUGAUGAUUCAUCUCUGUAUGCAGAAUUUAUGGAUU